GACAGAGGUGCCGAGCGUUAGGCGGAAUUACUGGGCGUAAAGCGCGCGUAGGCGGCUUUUCAAGUCGAUUGUGAAAUCCCCGGGCUUAACCUGGGAACUGCAGUCGAGACUGUCUAGCUAGAGUAUGGGAGAGGGAAGUGGAAUUUCAGGUGUAGCGGUGAAAUGCGUAGAUAUCUGAAGGAACAUCAGUGGCGAAAGCGACUUCCUGGACCAAUACUGACGCUCAUGUGCGAAAGCGUGGGGAGCAAACAGG
RNAcentral lists this ribosomal RNA (253 nucleotides) under uncultured bacterium. RNAcentral describes it as "partial 16S ribosomal RNA". It matches the Rfam family "Bacterial small subunit ribosomal RNA", at positions 524 to 776 of the family's 1533-position model. The record is from RNAcentral.